RNAcentral lists this ribosomal RNA (424 nucleotides) under uncultured bacterium. RNAcentral describes it as "bacterial SSU rRNA". It matches the Rfam family "Bacterial small subunit ribosomal RNA", at positions 958 to 1397 of the family's 1533-position model. The record is from RNAcentral.
AACGCGAAGAACCUUACCAAGGCUUGACAUCCUGUGAAAGACUUCGAAAGAAGACUGUGCCUUCGGGAACACAGUGACAGGUGGUGCAUGGCCGUCAUCAGCUCGUGUCGUGAGAUGUUUGGUUAAGUCCAUCAACGAGCGCAACCCUUGUAGUUAGUUGUUUUUCUAGCUAGACUGCCCUGGUAACAGGGAGGAAGGAGGGGAUGAUGUCAGGUCCGUAUCUCCCUUAUGUCUUGGGCUACAAACACGCUACAAUGGCCAGUACAAAGGGCAGCCAAGUCGCAAGACGGAGCAAAUCCCAUCAAAGCUGGUCUCAGUUCGGAUUGUAGGCUGAAACCCGCCUGCAUGAAGCUGGAAUCGCUAGUAACGGUAGGUCAGCAUUACUACCGUGAAUACGUUCCCGGGCCUUGUACACACCGCGAGC